RNAcentral lists this ribosomal RNA (104 nucleotides) under Mycobacterium sp. ITM-2017-0098. Its description in RNAcentral is "partial 23S ribosomal RNA". It matches the Rfam family "Bacterial large subunit ribosomal RNA", at positions 2822 to 2925 of the family's 2925-position model. The record is from RNAcentral. Lineage: Bacteria; Bacillati; Actinomycetota; Actinomycetes; Mycobacteriales; Mycobacteriaceae.
AGUGGGAUAAGGCCCCCCGCAGACCACGGGAUCGAUAGACCAGACCUACAAGACUAGUAAUAGUCGCAGGGAACUGGCACUAACCGGCCGAAAACUUACAACAA